Petromyzon marinus (sea lamprey) is the source of this 337-nucleotide long non-coding RNA. RefSeq lists it as uncharacterized. Lineage: Eukaryota; Metazoa; Chordata; Hyperoartia; Petromyzontiformes; Petromyzontidae. The record is from RefSeq and is a predicted model, not a curated record.
CAAUUUACGCGCUGACUUUUUUCCUCCCUUCAAGAAACUGAGAGAGGGACCACGUGUUGCCAAGAUUGAAAUGUGCGAAUUCAUAAGACACCCCUUACCCUGCUCCUGAAGCACAUGUACAUCCCCGUCACGAGCAGCAGCAGCAGAACGACGGCGGCCGCGGACCCAGCGAUGACUUUGGUUUUUUUUGCCAUUCGCACGAUCGCAACAGGCGACAGACAUUGCUCACCACGCGUAUUCGGCAGAGGCGUCGCUGCGACUGUCGCCGCUCGGCUGCGCGCUGUGGAAGUUGGACAAUUGAUCGUUGACGUUGAGAUCGGAGACGCGACGGUGAUGG